Molecule: small nuclear RNA, 95 nt
Filed under: Numida meleagris (helmeted guineafowl)
Lineage: Eukaryota; Metazoa; Chordata; Aves; Galliformes; Numididae
Source: RNAcentral
GUAGACCUAAUGAUUUACCUAAUGAUUUGGAAAGAAGAAUAGCACGGCCCCUGCACAAGGAUGACAUGCAAAUUCUUGAAGUGCUCCAUAUUUUU